RNAcentral lists this ribosomal RNA (516 nucleotides) under Ypthima similis. Its description in RNAcentral is "partial 16S ribosomal RNA". The stretch from base 384 to 516 matches the Rfam family "Bacterial large subunit ribosomal RNA", at positions 2473 to 2606 of the family's 2925-position model. The record is from RNAcentral. Lineage: Eukaryota; Metazoa; Arthropoda; Insecta; Lepidoptera; Nymphalidae.
UUUUUGAAAAUAAUUUAAAGUUUAAUNUGCCCACUGAUGAAAAUUAAAGGGCUGCAGUAUUUUGACUGUACAAAGGUAGCAUAAUCAUUAGUUUUUUAAUUGGAAACUUGUAUGAAAGAUUUAAUGAAAUAUAUACUGUCUCAAAUUUAUUAUUAAAACUUUAUUUUUUAGUUAAAAAGCUAAAAUAUUUUUAAAAGACGAGAAGACCCUAUAGAGUUUUAUAUUUAUUUUUAUUAAAAACUUAUAUAAAAAUUAAUGUUUAAAAUAAAAUAAAAUAUUAUGUUGGGGUGAUAGAAAAAUUAAAUUAACUUUUUGUGAUAAAUAAUAUUAAUAAAUAGAUAAAUGAUCCAUAAAUAAUGAUUAAAAGAAAAAAUUACCUUAGGGAUAACAGCGUAAUUUUUUUUUUUAGCACAAAUAAAAAAAAAAGUUUGCGACCUCGAUGUUGGAUUAAGAUAAAAUUUAAACGCAAAAGUUUAAAAUUUUGAUCUGUUCGAUCAUUAAAAUCUUACAUGAUCU